CGGGGGUGGGGGGGGGGGGG
RNAcentral lists this microRNA (20 nucleotides) under Corchorus olitorius. RNAcentral describes it as "bta-miR-23". Lineage: Eukaryota; Viridiplantae; Streptophyta; Magnoliopsida; Malvales; Malvaceae. The record is from RNAcentral.